AAUGUGCAAUGGAGAUUGUUAAUAUGGAAGUAUCCUAAGAAAUGGCAUACCAUUUGAGAAAAUAAACACACUAGAUUUUGGCACAAAGGAUAAUUAAUUUUACCAUGAAUUAAUGGAGACAGGUUUUUUAUCCUCUUCAUCACCAGAAAUAGUCCCCUUAAUAAGAAACUCUUCCCCAGAUCUGGAAGUUCUGAUCUGAUUCCGUAAGCCUGGGUGACAGGUGUGCAGAGAUAUCAAAUCAUCUAUUGAGAUCAUGCAAAGACUCUGGAAAUACAAUCUCGGCGAGUCCUGGCUGUAGCACUUUUGAUGUCCUCGUCAGUGGCCACAGUCCUGCAAGUUU
Molecule: long non-coding RNA, 340 nt
Organism: Calidris pugnax (ruff)
Lineage: Eukaryota; Metazoa; Chordata; Aves; Charadriiformes; Scolopacidae
Exons: 3
Source: RefSeq, a predicted model, not a curated record